This 190-nucleotide unclassified non-coding RNA is filed under the name uncultured fungus. Its description in RNAcentral is "sequence contains ITS1". The record is from RNAcentral. Lineage: Eukaryota; Fungi.
GUAUUUGAUUGCGUUUUGAACAUUCUAUGACACAUUCAGAGUAUAUGAUACAUAAGCCCGAAGGCCUACGGUGGGUUCACAGGUGUGUUGUGGAUUUAAGAGCUCAGGCGUGCACAUGCCUCUUUCGAGGCCAGCGACAACCCUCGCUUAUAAUUCAAUAAUGAUCCUUCCGCAGGUUCACCUACGGAAA